ACUCCUACGGGAGGCAGCAGUGGGGAAUUUUGGACAAUGGGCGAAAGCCUGAUCCAGCAAUGCCGCGUGAGUGAAGAAGGCCUUCGGGUUGUAAAGCUCUUUUGUCAGGGAAGAAACGGUGAGAGCUAAUAUCUUUUGCUAAUGACGGUACCUGAAGAAUAAGCACCGGCUAACUACGUGCCAGCAGCCGCGGUAAUACGUAGGGUGCAAGCGUUAAUCGGAAUUACUGGGCGUAAAGCGUGCGCAGGCGGUUUUGUAAGUCUGAUGUGAAAUCCCCGGGCUCAACCUGGGAAUUGCAUUGGAGACUGCAAGGCUAGAAUCUGGCAGAGGGGGGUAGAAUUCCACGUGUAGCAGUGAAAUGCGUAGAUAUGUGGAGGAACACCGAUGGCGAAGGCAGCCCCCUGGGUCAAGAUUGACGCUCAUGCACGAAAGCGUGGGGAGCAAACAGGAUUAGAAACCCCUGUAGUCCCAUG
RNAcentral lists this ribosomal RNA (473 nucleotides) under uncultured organism. Its description in RNAcentral is "partial 16S ribosomal RNA". It matches the Rfam family "Bacterial small subunit ribosomal RNA", at positions 335 to 799 of the family's 1533-position model. The record is from RNAcentral.